This is a long non-coding RNA of Chenopodium quinoa (quinoa), 2488 nucleotides long. RefSeq lists it as uncharacterized. Lineage: Eukaryota; Viridiplantae; Streptophyta; Magnoliopsida; Caryophyllales; Amaranthaceae. The transcript is spliced from 11 exons. The record is from RefSeq and is a predicted model, not a curated record.
ACCCCCCUUAGCACCGGUUCUUGAAAAUCGGUGCCAAAAGAAAUGGGCUCCUGCUUUUCUUUCUUUCUUUAAUUUCUUUCACCCCGUUUUUUCCAUCUUCUCUGUUUUCCCUCUAGUUUUCGCCUUCUCUUCCACCAUCCCGAAAUUUCACCUUCUCCAUUGAAGUGGUUUACGAGAUUUCUCACUCCAUUGAAGCAGCACCUCCUUCUCUCUCCAUAUCUCUGGCCUCCAUUGAACUCGUACUCUAUAUUCUCCAUUAAAGCCGAUUCUGAGCUUUCUCACCUCCAUUGAAGCAGCUUUGAGGGUUCUGGUUUUAUUUCUAUUUUUUGUCGAACAAAAUAAGUAGGAGAAGGAGAGAGUAGGUACUACCCGCCGCCACUCACCCUUUGCCGGCCACCCUCCGUUCCCCUCAGCCGUCCUUCGUGCAUCGGCCACCGACCACCAGCCGCCUAGAUCCACCGCCUUAGACCACCCACCCGUCGGCCACCCAACGACUUUGACCACCCACUGACUAGCAGGCAUUGUAGAUCUAGUUUGUUUGCUCCUCAAAAAAGAGUUCAAAUCCAAAGCUAGAUUGCAAUUGAUUGGAUCUGGAUUAGGGCUGGGUUUCAUUGGAAUUAAUCGUUUUGGAUCCGAUUUUGGGAAAAACAGCGCCAUCCCAUGGCGCUGUUUCGUCGAUUCUUCUAUUGGAAGCCACCUGAUCGGCUUCUUGAAAUUUCUGAGCGAGUUUUAGUGUUUGAUUGCUGCUUCUCUACGGAUGUGUUGAAUGAAGAUGAGUACACAGAAUACCAUUACUGGUAUUGUAACACAGCUACAGGAAUACUUCCCAGAUGCCUCAUUUAUGGUGUUUAACUUUAGAGGAGGGGAUCGAAGGAGUCAUAUUGCUGAUAUAUUGUCUGAGUAUGAUAUGACUGUUAUGGAGGGUAUUGAGGAUGCGAUUUGAGGCUAUUGGGUGAAAACCGAGAGCAAAUUGCCAAAGCUAUGCUGAAGAGGAGAGAGAGAGAGGAAGAGUAGAAAAAGAAGAUGGUGAAAUCUUCAAUGGCGGAAACUCCUAAAGCCUACUUUUCUACGAUUGUGUUAAGGAUCAUCUACCAGGCAUGGACUGAAUCCAGAUUUUGUGGAUCUAGAAGGUCAACUCACUCAUGAGGCUCCACGGGAAGAUGAGAAAGAUCUUGAGAGUGGUCUUGUUUGCAGCUUAUCAGGAGCAAUUCAGCCUAAUUCAUGCGAUGAAGCUCGGAAAAGGCAUGCGAGCAAAUGUCGAGGUAAUGAGCAAAAUCAACUACCAUAAUUGGGCACCAAUGGUAUAGGCAUCAAAAAGUGACGUUAAGUGCGGUUUGGUUGAACUGGUACUUCAAUUUCCACCUCCGGUUUAGCAGCAAGCACAAUAGCAACUCGCAUCAAUUGCAUAACUUGCUUCUCAUUUCCACCUCGUAAACGUUCUGCUUGGAUGGCUCUAUCUCGCCUUUUUAUUGACUACUGCAUUUGGGGAUGGGACAAUCUACCUUGAACUGUUCUCAUAAACUAUGCAAAUCUCAUUUCCUUUCCAGAAGGUUUGGAGAUUCAUGGCUGAGGGAGAGGAAGACUUGCCCAGGGAUGCGAAAAUUGUGAAGUCAUUGAUUAAAUCCUUGGGUGUUGAGGAGCAUGAGCCCCGUGUUGUGCACCAGUUUCUGGAGUUGUGGUACAGGUAUGCUGUCGAUGUCUUAACGGAUGCACAAGUUUACUCUGAACAUGCUGGCAAAGCCUCAAUUGACUGCGUUGAUGUUAAGCUUGCUAUCCAAUCAAAAGUGAAUUUCAGCUUCUCACAACCCCCACCUUGGGAGGUAUUUUUAGCUUUCUCUUUACCCCCAUCCAAGUGUUUACGUGUGCAUAUGAUAGCAAUCUCUAUUGCUAUGAUCUCAUUGUCUAAAGUUGGGAAAGGAAUGCCACUUUUCUUAAAAAGGUUGACAUGUGGCCAUUUGGGAUCCUUAUUUCUUAGUAAGAAUUGGAUAUGCGGGAGAGAAUUACUAGUAAGAAUUGGUUCAAGAUAUCAUUUGAUUUGUUAUGAGUGUAGGACUAUGAAUGUUUUUUUACAGGUUGCUGUUAAGAAAAUGAAGAGGAAGUUCUAUUUUUGGCACAGCAGAGCAGCAGAAUAGAAACAGCAGCACAGCAAAUAGCAGAGCAGCAGGUUAGCCUGAACACGCAACAACACAUCAGCCAGCAGAGCAGCCACCAGCACAAGACAGCCUGCCUGAACAGAAGCAAAACCAAUCACCCAGCCAGCUUAAACAGAGCAGAAACACAGCCACAGAAGCAGAACAGCCACAACCAUCAGAGCAGAAAAACAGCCACAGCCAGCCAGCAGAGCAGCCACCAGCACAAGACCAGGACAGCUAGUUAAAUGAAAUGCAAGAAAGGUCGAUUAGAGAUAAGUCUGGAUUAUUUAAUUUUUUUUGGAUGAAAAUUGUAAUAUUACAGCCUUUUUUAAUGAAAAUAUGUAACUUUAUAUAUA